This 23-nucleotide small nuclear RNA is filed under the name Arabidopsis thaliana (thale cress). RNAcentral describes it as "snRNA_08407". Lineage: Eukaryota; Viridiplantae; Streptophyta; Magnoliopsida; Brassicales; Brassicaceae. The record is from RNAcentral.
UUGAUUAAUUCUAAUUCUAUUUU